RNAcentral lists this ribosomal RNA (654 nucleotides) under Symbiodinium sp. clade B. Its description in RNAcentral is "eukaryotic LSU rRNA". The stretch from base 293 to 446 matches the Rfam family "5.8S ribosomal RNA". Lineage: Eukaryota; Dinophyceae; Suessiales; Symbiodiniaceae. The record is from RNAcentral.
GUGUUGGAAAGUUUCAUGAACCUUAUCACUUAGAGGAAGGAGAAGUCGUAACAAGGUUUCCGUAGGUGAACCUGCGGAAGGAUCAUUCGCACUGAUCAACUCUUGACACUGUGACUUUUGACGUGAGGGACGCUUGUGGUGAAAUAUCUGCUUGCGGAACUCGUGGGCGACAGCGGCGCAUCGGCGCCUGGUGCAUCUGGCACCGGGCGCGGGUGUUGCCCUGUGGCCGGGUUAGCUCUAGGGUGAGAUAGUUAGCGCAAGCUUUCUGGAAAGGAUGAUGGUCCAAAACUACAACUUUCAGUGAUGGAUAUCUUGGCUCGGGCACCUUUGAAGGGCGCAGCGAAGCGCGAUAGUCUUUGUGAAUUGCAGAAUUCCGUGAACCGAUGGCCUCCUGAACGCGCAUUGCGCUCUCGGGAUUUCCUGAGAGCAGGUCUGCUUCAGUGCUUAGCAUUAUCUACCUGUGCUUGCAAGCAGCAUGUCUACACUGCUGCUUCGCUUUCCAACAAGUCAUCGAUCGCGUUUGUGUUCGUAAAUGGCUUGUUUGCUGCCUGGCCCAUGCGCCAAGCUUGAGCGUACUGUUGUUCCAAGCUUAGCUUGCAUCGUACAGCUCAAGCGCGCAGCUGUUGGGAUGCUGAUGCAUGCCCUUAGCAUGAA